Diceros bicornis minor is the source of this 1528-nucleotide long non-coding RNA. RefSeq lists it as uncharacterized. Lineage: Eukaryota; Metazoa; Chordata; Mammalia; Perissodactyla; Rhinocerotidae. The transcript is spliced from 10 exons. The record is from RefSeq and is a predicted model, not a curated record.
GAAGUUGUUGCCGCGUUUAGAGGUGUUUCAGGAUACUGGUUUUAUUACGUUCGUUUGCAGACGAGGCCUGCGUUUAUGUGGAAACUGAAUUCCUAGGAGCCAAGUGUCUUGCCCAGAGUUGCCCAGCUGAGGCCGACCAUUGCUACAGGACUCCACUGCUGGUUACAUAAUCUGAGGUGCCCACUGCAAAACGAAAAUGCAAGACCCCGCCCAUUCAAAAAUCAUGGUCUCAGAGUUACCUUGUUUGAGGUUGAUGUUUGGUGAAAUUACGUUCAAGAGCAGAACAACAUGGCUUAGCUCCAAAAUGACAAGAAUCACUCAGAGCAGCGCAUAGAUAAAGGCUACAGAAAGUGUUAAGAAAAUAAAGAAAAAAAAAGAAGAAGAAGAAGGAGAAAAAUAGUCACUGGCCAAAGCAGAAUUCAGAAGUCUUAGAAUACACACAUGCAAUGUUAAAUUUCUUGUUUGGAUAAACUGAAUAGACUGUGUGGGCAGAGGAGAAGGAGUUGAAAGAACCCGGAGGCAAAAGAGAAUGUGCUGGAGAAACUAAGAUUCUCUGCCAAAGUUUCAGAAAACGAAAUUCUGGAGCUGCUGUGGAAAUUCUAGAGCUGCUGACACAUUGUCAACUCUCAAGAAAAGCUGGUUGGAUGGAUUCAACAUGGGGAGACCCACAGAUCUAGCUUUCAGGAACUGUUGAAGCCAUUUGAACAGGGGAUAUAACCAGAAGCAGGACGUGGAAAGAUUACUCUCUCAGGAAUGCGCACGCACUAAUCUACCCUUUCUGUGAACUGAGCGUAAUGAUCACACUUCACUUGACUGAGGACACACCUUUACGAAAAUUUAUUUUAAGGGCAACAUUUCGCAGACAUAGAGUUUUCGUUCCAUAAAAAUGCUUCAAAUACUCCUGAUGAAAAAAUUUAAAAAGGAGAGGCUCAAAAUAUGAAACCUUGAGAAAAAUUUCCACAGACUGGAAAUCUGCUGAAAGAUCAUUCUGCAGAAAGUAUAGUAGCAUUAAGCAAUAUUCAAAGAUUAAGAGUUGAAUUGAGACUUGGAUAAAAAUAAAAGGAUGUAUUCAGUCAACAAGGGCUAAAGAAGCAAACUAAUACUCCUGGACGUUAUCAUCAUCUGGAACUGCUCUAUCUCUAAAACGUUAAAUACUAACAGAACCAUGACAGAGGGUGCUAGUUACCUAUCUCCACCAUUCUUUCUCCCUUCACCCUAAGGAUAGAACCCAUGAUUUGUGGUCCCCAAAUCUUCCCCAUGAGCAUCCUUCUGGCCACACUGAAGUAGUUCCCAAACACAUCAUAUACAUUUGCCCCAGGACCUGCAUCAUGUCUGGUUUUGAGAAUGUUCAACUUGAAAGAUAUUAUUUUCCAGUCUUCAUUAACAUCUUCAACAAUCUGCACUGUCUCAAUUAAUGGGGAGUAACUUGUAAAAGGCUGGCUGAUUACUUAAGAACUGUCUCUUAAUUUGAAUAUACAUAGCUAUAUUUAGACUUACUUUACCUAAUUAUUAUGCUUCCUGAUUUUUC